UAGCUGGGCAUGGUAGCAUCCAUCUGUAGCCCCAGCUACUUGGGAGGCUGAGGCAGGAGGAUUGGUUGAGCCUAGGAGGUUGAGGCUCCAGUAAGCCAUGACUGCACCACUGCACUCCAGCCUGGGUGACAGAGCAAGACCCUGUCUUAAAAAAGAAAAGUUUAUUAACGUGAAUAUCAGUUAGAAAUCUAGUUGUUCAUUGCAAAACUAAACCAGUUUAUAGCAGAAAUAAGCACUUGGAGGGAAAUGUUACAUUUUCACUGCAGGCCUUGAAUCCUUAGCCACCAGCUCCGUGUCCUUCAGGGUUCUGUGGUUCCUGGUUCCAGAGAGAUCACCUGCUCCAAUGUAACGAGUGAAGAGUUCUUUAGGUGAUGGCUGCUGGGCCCAGCUUUGCUGUUGUCUUUGCUGUCUUAUUGUUUUUCCUUGAUGCUGGAAAACAUUUUGAAGACAAGACUCUAAACAGUGAAACUUACAUUACUGACAAGCUUGGAAGAUUCUUCAGUCCUGCAGUGACCUGUGUUUCCCUGGAUGAUAUUGAUGUUGAAAUGUCUUACGAUGAUCAUUUAGAGGUUUAUUUUGAACAACUGGCAAUUCCAGGAAUGAUGGAAUAA
Molecule: long non-coding RNA, 611 nt
Filed under: Pan troglodytes (chimpanzee)
Lineage: Eukaryota; Metazoa; Chordata; Mammalia; Primates; Hominidae
Description: lncRNA (ENSPTRG00000053556.1)
Source: RNAcentral